UGGGGAAUCUUGCACAAUGGGGGAAACCCUGAUGCAGCGACGCCGCGUGAGCGAUGAAGGUUUUCGAAUCGUAAAGCUCUGUCCUAUGGGAAGAUAAUGACGGUACCAUAGGAGGAAGCCCCGGCUAACUACGUGCCAGCAGCCGCGGUCAUACGUAGGGGGCGAGCGUUGUCCGGAAUUACUGGGCGUAAAGGGUUCGCAGGCGGCAUGACAAGUCCGAUGUAAAAGGCGAAAGCUCAACUUUCGUAAGCAUCGGAAACUGUCAAGCUUGAGUGAAGGAGAGGCAAGUGGAAUUUCUAGUGUAGCGGUGGAAUGCGUAGAUAUUAGGAGGAAUACCGGUGGCGAAGGCGACUUGCUGGACUUCAACUGACGCUGAGGAACGAAAGCGUGGGUAGCAAACAGG
This 403-nucleotide ribosomal RNA is filed under the name bacterium. RNAcentral's name for it is "partial 16S ribosomal RNA". It matches the Rfam family "Bacterial small subunit ribosomal RNA", at positions 355 to 776 of the family's 1533-position model. The record is from RNAcentral.